UUUAAUGGAGAGUUUGAUCCUGGCUCAGGACGAACGCUGGCGGCGUGCCUAAUACAUGCAAGUCGAGCGAGGGUCUUCGGACCCUAGCGGCGGACGGGUGAGUAACACGUAGGCAACCUGCCUGUGAGACUGGGAUAACAUAGGGAAACUUAUGCUAAUACCGGAUAGGGUUUUGCUUCGCCUGAAGCGAAACGGAAAGAUGGCGCAAGCUAUCACUU
Molecule: ribosomal RNA, 218 nt
Filed under: Brevibacillus laterosporus
Lineage: Bacteria; Bacillati; Bacillota; Bacilli; Caryophanales; Paenibacillaceae
Description: partial 16S ribosomal RNA
Rfam family: Bacterial small subunit ribosomal RNA
Source: RNAcentral